UAGGGAAUAUUGGGCAAUGGAGGCAACUCUGACCCAGCCAUGCCGCGUGCAGGAAGACGGUCCUCUGGAUUGUAAACUGCUUUUGAAUGGGAAGAAACGCACUUUUGCGAAAGUGUUUGACGGUACUAUUAGAAUAAGCACCGGCUAACUCCGUG
RNAcentral lists this ribosomal RNA (155 nucleotides) under uncultured bacterium. RNAcentral's name for it is "partial 16S ribosomal RNA". It matches the Rfam family "Bacterial small subunit ribosomal RNA", at positions 355 to 507 of the family's 1533-position model. The record is from RNAcentral.